Long non-coding RNA from Seriola dumerili (greater amberjack), 516 nucleotides. RefSeq lists it as uncharacterized. The record is from RefSeq and is a predicted model, not a curated record. The transcript is spliced from 3 exons. NCBI's taxonomy places the organism in Eukaryota, Metazoa, Chordata, Actinopteri, Carangiformes, Carangidae.
AAGUUGCAUCAUCUUCACCUCCAUGCAACAGAGAAAUGCUGGCCUCCAGGAGACAUCAGCGACUCCUGUGGUACAGGAAUGAAGACUGAUCACACUGUGGAUGAACAAGAACCAACUGUAAAACUCAAGAAGAAGAUUUAAGACUUCUUCACUGUUCUGCUUUCAGGGUUGUUAAAGGGACAGAGUCCGUUCUGCUGUUCACAUGGCUGCAGACUUUCUGGCUCUCCUGAAUGCUGCUAUAGCUAAUAAAGACAUGGUAACACUCACUAUGUCUCAGUGUGGGAGGAACAUGAAGAGGAGACAGUGGGACGGUGGACUGUGACUGGCUGUCUGAAGGCUCAACUGCUGCGAGACAUACUGACAGAAACACACCCCUCCCGCCAGAUGACCAGUGGAGCUGGACCGGGGAAAAGGAAAGUGUCUAUUGGCAAGGCAGGAGACGUAACCUGAUGAGAAGUAGAUCAUUGCUCUUCGAAACAUGUCCUCAGCACCAGCCUGCUCAGAAAAUGUUUCUGC